This 107-nucleotide transfer-messenger RNA is filed under the name Alphaproteobacteria bacterium. Its description in RNAcentral is "partial transfer-messenger RNA". It matches the Rfam family "Alphaproteobacteria transfer-messenger RNA", at positions 1 to 105 of the family's 355-position model. From Rfam's summary of the family: Bacterial tmRNA, also known as 10Sa RNA or SsrA, is named for its dual tRNA and mRNA-like properties. Its role is to liberate the mRNA from a stalled ribosome. The record is from RNAcentral. Lineage: Bacteria; Pseudomonadati; Pseudomonadota; Alphaproteobacteria.
AACCUUGAAAAUCCAUAAGUCUUUCCCUAUAAUGAAUAUGUCGGGUUCGCCCGACUAUGAUGCUAAACGCUUUGUGGAAUAAGCGUCGUGGACCCGGGGGCAGUGCC